UCGGUUGCCUAUUUGUUCAUAUUAUGUUAUUUACUAUGAUUCGUUUUUGUCUUUAUACUAGAACUGUUUGAAUUUAAAGCACAAACAGUAAAACAUUAAGGUUAUACGUGGUACACAGCGGUAAACAUGAGGUUAAAAAUACGCGAAGUUACAUUCAAACCGGGCUGUUAAAAGAAUCAAUUCGAUGUUUAAAUUUUUAAAAACAAAACUUUAAAGAAGCCAAGAUGAGACGUUAUUUGCUUAAAACAAACAAAACAACAGUAACUCGUUUGUUUGAAAUGUUAGCAGCUAGCAAGUGUCUCUCUGCUAUUUUAAAUGAUACAGACGAUCUUUUGUUGUUUUAAAAGCUCAUUCAGUUCUGGUAGAUGCUGCUUAUUUUUCAAGACUGUUUUAAUAGCUUUAUAUUGAUUUGUAACAAAGCCAGCUUCACUUUAAGAGAACCUAGAUGCUAAUUGUAAAGAAGCUUGGAGUCAUAAUAUAUUUAAACGUUAUAUGUUUGCUGUUCUUCAUCUUUUUAAAUAUGAAGUCUAUUCAUGUUUGUGUUUACAGAGGUCAUGUACACUGUGGUCAACUUUGUGGACGAUGAAGAGGUUUCUGGGUAAAGAUGAUAGAAAUAUAAUGAAGUAACAGUGAAAGCUAAAACAUCAGACUGAUCCAGACACUGAAGAAAUUGAUGUCACUGCAAUCUGGCCAAAAUGAUACAACUAUAUUGAAGUAGCCUACUGUAAUGAAGCUGCAGAACAACACAGAGACUCUGAGGACAUCAACACAGAAAAUUAAGGCUCCAAAGAGAUGUCUGUCCAGAUGAGGGUGCAUCAAUGUUACGUUUGCUGACAAGUAUAUGCUUUACAAUGUAAAACCUAACAGUUAACUUAACUCAAACCAUUUAAGGAAAUCGGUUGCCUUAACCCAUUAAGUUUUAAAAAACAUACAUUUGAGUACUGUGAACUUAAGUCUUGUGCAAUUAUGCACUUAUAUUUAGUUAGUGUGAACUUAAAUAUAAGUGCAUAACUGCAUGUGACUCAAUUUGUUUAAGUUCACAGUACUCAAAUCCAUGUGUUUUAAAACUUAAAUGGUUUGAGUUUAGUUAACUUUUAGGUUUUACAGUGAGAAAUUCUUGAAUAAUUCCAAGACAGAGCUCUGUAAUUGAAUCAACACUGCAAAAAAUCAGUUUCUAACUUAGGAUUUUUAUCUUGUUUUUAGUAGAAAAACUAAAAAUUCUUAAAUCAAGAUGUAUUUUCUUGAUGAGCAAAAUUACCUAAGAAAAUGUCUAGUUUUUAGACAAAAAUAUACAAUUUAAGUAAAUUUGUGCCUGAACAAGCAAAAAUAUAUAACAAUGGGGUGAGAAAAUUGUGCUUGAAUUAAGUUUUUAAGAAAAAAGAAAACUUAAGAUUUUUUCUCACACCAUUGGCAGAUAUUUUUGCUUGUUUUAAGCACAAAUUCACUUAAAUUGUGUGUGUGUUUAUUUAUUUUGUCUAAAACUAGACUUAUUUUCUUAGGUCAUUUUGUUCAUCAAGAAAAAGCAUUUAAUUUAAAUAAUAUUUCUACUGAAAACGAGACACAAAUACUAUGUAAGAAAGUCAUUUUUUUGCAGUGUAGGACUGAUUUCUUAAAGCAAGAUCAAUAUAGUUGUUGUUCAUUUUAUUUAGAUAUUUACUACAUUACAGUGGCAGCUGGUGACUUCUUUUUUUGUGAACACUCGAUGCAAAGUCUGUCACAACAUGUAUAUAGCCAGUCAUUUGUGUGGUUCCCAAUUUCAAAAUAUGUGUUCUGCGUGUAUGUGCAUCACGUGUUUUGACUAAACACGUGAUGCACAUGGUUUACAUGACACAACAAACACAUUUUAAAAACACAAGCAACACACAUGACACUCCGAACACUUAUUUUGAAUUUGCACCCCUCGGAUGAGCAGUCACGAGCCGCCACUGCUACUUUACAUUGUACUGCUUUGA
Long non-coding RNA from Paramisgurnus dabryanus, 1952 nucleotides. RefSeq lists it as uncharacterized. The record is from RefSeq and is a predicted model, not a curated record. Lineage: Eukaryota; Metazoa; Chordata; Actinopteri; Cypriniformes; Cobitidae.